RNAcentral lists this ribosomal RNA (948 nucleotides) under Lactiplantibacillus plantarum. RNAcentral describes it as "bacterial SSU rRNA". It matches the Rfam family "Bacterial small subunit ribosomal RNA", at positions 250 to 1186 of the family's 1533-position model. Lineage: Bacteria; Bacillati; Bacillota; Bacilli; Lactobacillales; Lactobacillaceae. The record is from RNAcentral.
UGGUUGGGGUAAACGGCUCACCAUGGCAUUGAUACGUAGCCGACCUGAGAGGGUAAUCGGCCACAUUGGGACUGAGACACGGCCCAAACUCCUACGGGAGGCAGCAGUAGGGAAUCUUCCACAAUGGACGAAAGUCUGAUGGAGCAACGCCGCGUGAGUGAAGAAGGGUUUCGGCUCGUAAAACUCUGUUGUUAAAGAAGAACAUAUCUGAGAGUAACUGUUCAGGUAUUGACGGUAUUUAACCAGAAAGCCACGGCUAACUACGUGCCAGCAGCCGCGGUAAUACGUAGGUGGCAAGCGUUGUCCGGAUUUAUUGGGCGUAAAGCGAGCGCAGGCGGUUUUUUAAGUCUGAUGUGAAAGCCUUCGGCUCAACCGAAGAAGUGCAUCGGAAACUGGGAAACUUGAGUGCAGAAGAGGACAGUGGAACUCCAUGUGUAGCGGUGAAAUGCGUAGAUAUAUGGAAGAACACCAGUGGCGAAGGCGGCUGUCUGGUCUGUAACUGACGCUGAGGCUCGAAAGUAUGGGUAGCAAACAGGAUUAGAUACCCUGGUAGUCCAUACCGUAAACGAUGAAUGCUAAGUGUUGGAGGGUUUCCGCCCUUCAGUGCUGCAGCUAACGCAUUAAGCAUUCCGCCUGGGGAGUACGGCCGCAAGGCUGAAACUCAAAGGAAUUGACGGGGGCCCGCACAAGCGGUGGAGCAUGUGGUUUAAUUCGAAGCUACGCGAAGAACCUUACCAGGUCUUGACAUACUAUGCAAAUCUAAGAGAUUAGACGUUCCCUUCGGGGACAUGGAUACAGGUGGUGCAUGGUUGUCGUCAGCUCGUGUCGUGAGAUGUUGGGUUAAGUCCCGCAACGAGCGCAACCCUUAUUAUCAGUUGCCAGCAUUAAGUUGGGCACUCUGGUGAGACUGCCGGUGACAAACCGGAGGAAGGUGGGGGAUUGAACGUC